ACAAUGGCCAUUAUUUACUUGAUCUUGACUCGCCCUAAAUGGACAACUGUGGAAAAGCUAGAGCUAAUACAUGCACAACAAGCUUCGACCCCUUAGGGGGAAGAGCGCAUUUAUUCGCCUAAAACCAAAACGGCUUCGGCCGUCCACAUUGUGGUGACUCAGAAUAACUCACAGCUGAUCGCAUGGCCUAGUGCCGGCGACGUGUCAUUCAAGCGUCUACUUUAUCAACUUGAAGGUAGCAUAAUCGACUACCUUGGUGGUGACGGAUAACGGAGGAUCAGGGUUCGACUCCGGAGAAGGGGCCUGAGAAAUGGCCACUACGUCUAAGGAUGGCAGCAGGCGCGCAAAUUACCCACUCUCGGCUUGAGGAGGUAGUGACGAGAAAUAACGAGGCCGUUCUCAAUACGAGGCCGGUCAUCGGAAUGGGUACAAUGUAAACACUUUAACGAGUAUCUACGAGAGGGCAAGUCUGGUGCCAGCAGCCGCGGUAAUUCCAGCUCUCGAAAUACAUAGAAUUCUUGUUGCGGUUACAAGGCUCGUAUUUGGAUCUGUGAUCAGGCCCCGGUCUUGCCUCCGGGCAUGUACUGGGUGUCCCGGUCUUUGCGCAGUGAUUGCCCCAUGGUGCCUUCGCUGGUGCCGGGUGCGCAAGCGCUGCGAGUUUACUUUGAACAAAUCAGAGUGCUCAAAACAAGCGUCCAGCUUGAAUGUUCGUGCAUGGAAUAAUAGAAGAGGAUUUCGGUCCUAUUUUUCUGUUGGUUUAUAGGCUGAGAUAAUGGUUAACAGAGACAGACGGGGGCAUCCGUAUGGCCACGUGAGAGGUGAAAUUCUUGGACCGUGGCCAGACGAACAACAGCGAAAGCAUUUGCCAAGAAUGUCUUCAUUAAUCAAGAACGAAAGUCAGAGGUUCGAAGGCGAUCAGAUACCGCCCUAGUUCUGACCGUAAACGAUGCCAACUAGCGAUCCGCCGAUGGAGAUCCAUCUCCUUGGUGGGGAGCUUCCCGGAAACGAAAGUCUUCCGGUUCCGGGGGAAGUAUGGUUGCAAAGCUGAAACUUAAAGGAAUUGACGGAAGGGCACCACCAGGAGUGGAGCCUGCGGCUUAAUUUGACUCAACACGGGAAAACUCACCCGGCCCGGACACCGUAAGGAUUGACAGACUGAUAGCUUUUUCAUGAUUCGGUGGAUGGUGGUGCAUGGCCGUUCUUAGUUCGUGGAGCGAUUUGUCUGGUUUAUUCCGAUAACGAGCGAGACUCAGGCCUACUAAAUAGUUGGCGCAUUGUCACUGUGUGCAUAAUACUUCUUAGAGGGAUUCGCGGUGGUUCAAACCGCAAGAAAUUGAGCAAUAACAGGUCUGUGAUGCCCUUAGAUGUCCGGGGCUGCACGCGCGCUACACUGGCAAAAUCAGCGUGCUUGUCCUGUGCCGAAAGGUGCGGGUAAACCCCUGAAAAUUUGCCGUGAUUGGGAUCGGAAAUUGCAAUUAUUUUCCGUGAACGAGGAAUUCCAAGUAAGUGCGAGUCAUCAGCUCGCGUUGAUUACGUCCCUGCCCUUUGUACACACCGCCCGUCGCUGCCCGGGACUGAGCCAUUUCGAGAAACUUGGGGACUGUGCGACUUGGCUGGUGUGCUUGCGCACAUCACCUUGUUCGCUGGAAACCAAUUUAAUCGC
This 1663-nucleotide ribosomal RNA is filed under the name Meloidogyne africana. Its description in RNAcentral is "SSU rRNA". It matches the Rfam family "Eukaryotic small subunit ribosomal RNA". Lineage: Eukaryota; Metazoa; Nematoda; Chromadorea; Rhabditida; Meloidogynidae. The record is from RNAcentral.